Molecule: ribosomal RNA, 894 nt
Filed under: uncultured bacterium
Lineage: Bacteria
Description: bacterial SSU rRNA
Rfam family: Bacterial small subunit ribosomal RNA
Source: RNAcentral
AGAGUUUGAUCAUGGCUCAGGACGAACGCUGGCGGCAUGCCUAAUACAUGCAAGUCGAACGGGUAUACCCGCAAGGGUGUAUCAGUGGCGAACGGGUGAGUAAUGUAUGAGCAACCUGCCCUAUUCAACGGGAUAGCGGUUGGAAACGACCGGUAAUACCGUAUAAGACCACACCGCCGCAUGGCGGAGCGGUCAAAGCGAUUUAGCGGAAUAGGAUGGGCUCAUACCCCAUUAGCUAGUUGGUGAGAUAACAGCCCACCAAGGCUACGAUGGGUAGCCGACUUGGGAGAGUGAUCGGCCACACUGGAACUGAGACACGGUCCAGACUCCUACGGGAGGCAGCAGUAAGGAAUAUUGGGCAAUGGAGGAAACUCUGACCCAGCAAUGCCGCGUGAGUGAAGAAGGUCUUCGGAUUGUAAAGCUCUUUUAUCGGGAACGAAAAAAAUGACGGUACCCGAUGAAUAAGCCCCGGCUAACUACGUGCCAGCAGCCGCGGUAAUACGUAGGGGGCAAGCGUUGUCCGGAAUGACUGGGCGUAAAGGGAGUGUAGGCGGUCUGAUAAGUUGGAAGUGUAAUACCCAGAGCUCAACUCGGGUGCUGCUUUCAAUACUGUCGGACUUGAGUGCAGGAGAGGAGAGUGGAAUUCCUAGUGGAGCGGUGGAAUGCGUAGAUAUUAGGAGGAACAUCAGUGGCGAAGGCGACUCUCUGGCCUGUUACUGACGCUGAGGCGCGAAAGCCAGGGGAGCGAACGGGAUUAGAUACCCCGGUAGUCCUGGCUGUAAACGAUGGGUACUAGGUGUUGGGGGUAUCGACCCCUCCAGUGCCGCAGUUAACGCAAUAAGUACCCCGCCUGGGGAGUACGGCCGCAAGGUUGAAACUCAAAGGAAUUGACGG